This 379-nucleotide ribosomal RNA is filed under the name uncultured Alphaproteobacteria bacterium. RNAcentral's name for it is "bacterial SSU rRNA". It matches the Rfam family "Bacterial small subunit ribosomal RNA", at positions 9 to 416 of the family's 1533-position model. Lineage: Bacteria; Pseudomonadati; Pseudomonadota; Alphaproteobacteria. The record is from RNAcentral.
GAGUUUGAUCUUGGCUCAGAACGAACGCUGGCGGCAGGCCUAACACAUGCAAGUCGAACGGGAUAGCAAUAUCCAGUGGCAGACGGGUGAGUAACACGUGGGAACCUUCCUAUUAGUAUGGAAUAGCCCGGGGAAACCCGGAUUAAUACCGUAUACGCCCUAAGGGGGAAAGAUUUAUCGCUAAUAGAUGGGCCCGCGUUAGAUUAGCUAGUUGGUGAGGUAAUGGCUCACCAAGGCUACGAUCUAUAGCUGGUUUGAGAGAAUGAUCAGCCACACUGGAACUGAGACACGGUCCAGACUCCUACGGGAGGCAGCAGUGGGGAAUAUUGGACAAUGGGCGCAAGCCUGAUCCAGCCAUGCCGCGUGAAUGAUGAAGGCC